GACCCAAACACCCGGCCCGGUGCACUUUGGAGCCGCGCUGCUCCUCGGCCUUCCGGUGUGAAGGCCGGGGAACCUCCUCCCCUACUGGGCACCCCCACCUUCGUGGCCCAGACCCCCCCCCCGCCCCUCUUUCGCGGGGGGGAGUGCGGCGACGGUUGCCGGGAAGCGCGCGCCGCCCCUCCCUUCCCUCCUCGGUCCUCCCCUCACGCGCCACCCGUUUUUCCUCUUUCUCCGUUAAUAACAGCUGGGUGGCUGGGGGAGGAGGGAAGGUGGCCCCGGCGGAGUCUGGGCGGGCGCCUCCCACUCACCCGCGAGCCGCCGUGUGAGCGGGAGGAUGGCGGCGGUAGUUGCGGCCGCCCGGGAGGAGGCGGUACCGAGGCCCCGGGCGCAGAGCGCGGCGGCGGCGGCAGAGAGCGGCAGCGGCCCGUCCCGGAGCACCAGAACCGAAACCAGCGGCAGCCGCACAGCCACCUGAGCCGCCCCUCCCGCCGGAGCUAGAGAGCGGCGUCCGCCGCAGCCCGACCUCCUUCCUCUCCGCCUCUCCUCGUUUCCUGCGACCUCCCGCAGGCCACCGGUCUCGCCCGCCGCCCCCGAGCACAAGAGCGCGCCGGGCGCCUACCGCCCUUCGGGGCGCGGGGCGGCGGUCCUGGACGUGCGGGCUGCUUCUUGCGCGGGUCGCGGCGCCUCGGCCCUUCCCGCUCGUUCCUGCGCUCGCUCCCGCCCUCCCGGCGCUCCGGGCGCCGCGCGCGGGCCCGGCCCGGGGCUGGGCGGACAUGGGCGCCAAGCAGAGCGGCCCGGCCGCUGCUAACGGCCGCACUCGCGCCUACUCGGGCUCGGAUCUACCUUCCAGCAGCAGCGGAGGAGCCAAUGGGACCGCGGGCGGUGGCAGCGGCGGCGGUGGCGGCGGAGGGGCGCGGGCCGCGGGCCCGGGGAGGUUUCCGGCUCAGGUGUCCGGCGCGCACCAGCCCAGCGCCUCGGGCGGCGCCGCGGCGGCCUCGGCGGCCCCGCGCAGCCGCUCCCUCGGCGGGGCCGGGGGGAGCGUGGCGUCGGCGGCCCGCGCGGCGCAGUCCUCCUUCAACAUCCCCAACAGCAGCAGCGGCCCGUACGGCUCGCAGGACUCGGUGCACAGCAGCCCCGAGGACGGCGGCGGCAGCAGGGACCGGCCGGCGAGCGGGGGCCCCGGCGGACCGCGCCUGGUGAUCGGCUCCUUACCAGCUCACCUCUCGCCGCACAUGUUUGGAGGAUUUAAGUGCCCUGUAUGCUCAAAAUUUGUACCUUCAGAUGAAAUGGAUUUGCAUCUUGUGAUGUGUUUAACAAAGCCAAGAAUAACCUAUAAUGAGGAUGUACUGAGUAAAGAUGCUGGGGAAUGUGCAAUAUGCCUUGAAGAAUUGCAGCAGGGAGAUACUAUAGCACGACUGCCUUGUCUAUGCAUAUAUCAUAAAGGCUGCAUAGAUGAAUGGUUUGAAGUAAAUAGAUCUUGCCCGGAGCACCCUUCAGACUAAGCAUCAGCUUCCUGUUUUAUAGGUUUUCUUGUGUUUUCAAGAUGCUUGAAAAACUGAGAGGAGAUGAGGAUCUGUCUCGGGAAAAAGAAAAACAAAACUGCAGGCAUACUCAGCCAGAGAUCUGAGUUCUGUGAGACUUGGUAACGCAGAGAUGGACAAUCACACGGGGAGAAACCCUGCUGAAAAGAGGGCAGUUGCCACAGAACUCAGUGUACCAAACAUGCAUAUAGAGGACACACAGGGAUUUUGAAAAUGCUGCACCUCCCUUACUAGUCAUCUACAUAGGAUAAAUACCCAGGAGUAUCAUUGCCAAGUCUUAUGAAGGAAAUCCUGACGCAUGGCUACAGCAUGGAUGGACCUGAGGACAUCAUGCUAAGCGAAGUGAGCCAGUUACACAGAAAGAAAUGCUGUGUGAUUCUACUUAUAUGAGGUACUUAAAAUAGUUAGAAUCCUAGAGACAGAAAGGGUGGCUGCCAGGGGCUGGGAAGAGGGGAGAGUAGGGAGUUCUCUCAUGGGUCUAGAGUUUCAGUGCUCUAAGAAGAGAAUUCUAGAGAUGGAUGGUGGUGAUUAUUGUGCAACAUGACAAAUAUAUUUAAUGCCACUGAACCGUUCUCUUAAAAAUAGUUAAGAUGGUGGGGCGCCUGGGUGGCUCGCUUGAGCGUCCAACUUUGGCUCAGGUCAUGAUCUCACAGCUUGUGGGUUCGAGCCCCGUGUUGGGGCUCUGUGCUGACGGCUCAGAGCCUGGAACCUGCUUCAGAUUCUGUGUCUCCCUCUCUCUCUGCCCCUCCCCCCCUUGCUCUGUCUCAAAAAUAAACAUUAAAAAAAUUAAAAAUGAAAAUAGUUAAGAUGGUAAAUUUUAUGUAUAUUUUACCACAAUAAAAACAAUUGGGAAAAAAAUGUCACGAAGUAGGUAGAACGGGAACAUGGCACGCAAAAAUGAACUGUUACUAUUGUGUUCUGUAUACGCAUUAUCUUUAAAAUUUCCUUUAAUAUAGCAACACUACUGCUUUCAUAACAGAAAGCACUGACAGGAAAAAAAAAAUCAGGGAAAAAAUUUUUGAGAUCUUUGGGUAGUUGUUAUUUGCCCCAGGAAGUACCCAGGUAGUCAUGGGAAAAACUUGUUUAACAUCCUCGCACUUACUUUAUAAUUUGCUAUUGUUUUAAAAAAUUUUUUACUACAGAUCAUUGGGGGCCCAUAACCUUUCCAGUUUUAGGUUUUAGUUUAGGUUUACGUUUUUGGCCGGUCUUGGGUGCAGUCCAUUCGAUUUUCAGGCUGAGGGACUUGUGCCGGGAUGGCCCCUGGGGCCCCGCAGUUCUCCGAGAAGCGCAUCUGUGUGGUCACAGGAGCCCCGGCCUCCUCACCAGCUUAUUCCAUUUGCACGAAAACUCCUCCCCAUGGACCUGGGAUAGUGAUCCUGGUUUUGUCUUUCAACUCCAGGGCAAGCGUGGUUUUUUUUGUUUUUUUUUUUCUGUAAGUGAUCAAUUAAUCACUAGAAAUAGACAUGUGGAGCACCUGGAAGUGGACCAAAAUAUCCGGGAGCCAAAUGCUUCCAGUCUGGCAGCAGAAGGGGAUGCCUGGCGAAGGCUCGAGGGCCCAGCUUGGUGUGGAGCAGGAGACGGGGGCUCCUGCUCCCGUCUCGACUGUGUGAGGAAGACCUGGAUGUGCCUCCCGCUGUCUGGUGAGUGACACUUAAAUGGGUAGCGCUGUUUGGGGAUAACGAUGAAAACUAACGGCUAUGCUUUUCGCUGACAGAGCUAGACUGUUCCAAGAAGCUUGAGGUGGAUUAUUUUUGGACUUGACUUUGAGAACUUCCAGGCCCAUAUUUGACCUUGUUGGGAAGUUCCCUAAGCCCAAGCGUUGAGAAGAGAACCACCUGGGCGGUCCAUCGUGAGCUGAAAUGAGCAAUGUCGGUCUCACGGUAACUGGCGUAUACUGAGCAGGGACCCUGCGCCGGACGUUGCUGUGCUGCUUACCAUGCGUCAGCACGUCUGGUCCUCACAACCACUCUGUGAGCAGUACUCUAGGAUUCCCAUUUUUCAAAAAGCAAAUUAAGAUUCCGAUAGUCUUAGGUGCUGGCCCAAAGCCACCUAGUGACUUGACCUGGCUUUUUUUAGAAGUUCCAAAUCAGCACAGACAUGCCAUAAAUCCAGGUCUGAAAUAUGGGAACUGUCAUUUCCCUAAACCAACCAAAAUGUCCUGUGGGAGGAAACAGUCCUAAGUCUGUGGCUUUUUUUUUUUUUUUUCCAAUUUUCAAUGGAUUUCUUCUUCUUGAUUAGGAAAGGUCUCCUCUUCUUGUGCAGAAACUCACCAGUGAGUAAUGGAGAACCUUUCCAGCAAAUUAGGAGACUUGAGAAAUAGAAAAUCCUUCAUUUACCGUUGGAAGACCAGAGCAUUUCCAAAUAGACUUUAAGCCAACACUACAUAAAUUCGAAUUUCCUUAGAGGCAGCAGUUUUAAUGUUGAUAAUCUCUAAGAGCAGUACUAUUGGGUGGUUUCUGAGUAAACUUUAGACUCUCAAAAGUUUAGUUUUAGUGGUUUAAUAAAACCUGAAUCUGUAUAGUUCUUUUAGUCGGCAAGUCUGAGGUCGAAGCACCCUGGCCAUCAGCUAACCACGCUCAUUCCACAUCGGUUGCCCAGAAUCUCUGGUAGAGACAGUCACCCCGUGAAGCAGCCACUCUUGGGUGAGUAGUCGGGUCUGGGGUGAGGGCAGAGGUGGGGGGGGAGCUACCAAAGCAGUCCCUUAGGGGGACGGCCACCACGUGGCUGAAUGGCUGGGUAGGAUUUUCAGAGUUAACUUCCUAAAUUGUACUGGGGCUGCUGUACAAAGCCAGACUGGGCCUCCGAGAACUCAAAGGUACUGUCGGUAGGCACCCCCCUCGCUUCCCCUCUCCUGUUGGAUCUUUAUCUUGCCACAGUGGAUGAAAGGUCCACCUGGAUCUUCCCUGCAGCAGUGAACAGACCCAGAAAGGAGUCCGUGUGGAACAUGGCCCGCCAGGGCCCACUAGAGCGCGGGGCGAGGGCCCAGGGGCCAUAUCCUAACCCCAGCCACCCCUGACCAAGUCUGUUCCUCUAAGAAGCCAGCUGUGUGGAUUCACAGGUCAGAUGGAGGGAAAGGCCUCAGUUACUUCCUCGGCUUUUCUUGGUCCCUCGGUAGGUGGAGAGGCCUGCGAAGGACCAUACCGAUGACUGCUCUGGCCUCCCUCCCCAGGCUCUUCACAGCACCGCACCCCAGGGCCCCACCCGACGCACUGGGUGUCUCUGAAGGGAGUCAGGCAUGCAGUACAGGGAUCCCAGGCUGAAUCCCUUUUAAAAACCCCAGACUCGGGCAAUUAGAAGGAGUGUUUUCAAUAUUUUAUUAACAAAUAAAUGGGUAGAACAAUUUCUCUGGUAAUCUCACCGCCCCCCCCCCACCCCCAUUUAACGUCCAGCAUGUGGCCGCCAUGAUGGUCGGUGUGUAACCUGCUCUGCUAGCUGGGUUCUCAGCAGCCCCCUCGGCCUAGUUCAGUCAUCCUCCCGAGGACUUUGGGGCAAAGAGAAAACUCCCCUCCUCAAGAGCGCGAGAGAGAGACAGAAGCUUCUGCUUGGAGGCCAGGGCCACAAAGGCAAGCCAGGCCUUAUUCCUUUUGGAGGAGGGGCACAGGUUCUUCUUCCUAGGGCAGAGCACUUGUGCCCGCCCCCAUCCGCUUUCCCGAGGAGGUGAGCCCAGCGUGAGAAAGCCCUGAGCGGAAACUCAACGUUACGAGGACACCACUCUUUUCUCUUAGACCUGCUAAGAGGGCACCCGGCGAUCUCUGUCAGCAGAGUGAGACUCUAGGACUAAAACAAAAGCCUAGGAGGAGCCCUUGCCUUGGCAAAACCUUGGGUGGAUCAAAUUGCAACACUGCACAGACCUAGUAACUACAGCGGUGAGGUGAGCAGACCGUCAACCUGUCGGGGAGUACGGAGGAGGAAGAGACUAUUCCAGGUAAAACACUUGGUCGUCGAGCACCUUUUCUCCAAGAAGUUUGGCACUAACUCUAUACCAUCAAUUCUUCCAUGAAGAUAGCGUGACCAACUCAUCUCCAGGGUCCUCAGGGCAGGCGUUUGAGCUCAGUCUUCUUCCUCUAAUGUCCGAUAAAGAUAACCCUACACGUGCAUUACGUCUCUUCAUAGUGUAUUUACAGUAAGUAAAACGGCCUGCCAGGCACACUCACGCCCUGCAAAAUUGUAACAGCUGCUCAGGGAUGCUCGUGCCCGUCACCAAGGCAGCAGGGUCCCCUGAGACUCCAAGAGGGGCGAAUGCACGGGGCGGCUGGCUCUGCUAGCGGGCCGCCCGGGGCCCACACCCCGUGCACAGCAGCGGCCUCUCAGAAGCAGAUGAUCCGCUUCUCGUCUUGGAAGACUUUGGCCUCCUCUGGCUUUAUCAAGUUUCCAUUUAGGCUGUCGGGGAGAAACAAAGAACACAAAACAUUAGCGGGUUGUAGGAGCCUUCCCGGGACGUGUUCCCAACACCCUCCUGUUCUUCACGUGGCCCAGAAGUUCCGGAACAUGCUCCAUUCAGACACUUGCUUGGUAAGAUUACUCCCUUCCAGCUGUCGUCGCUCUAUGAACUGGGUCUCACUGAGGUCACCAAUACCCUCUAGGAGCCUGAACUUAAUGACCUUGUCUCAGGCCUCGUCUGUCCCGUCCUUCACGGGCGUUUGGCUGUUCUCUCCCCUGCCUCCUUGAACCACCACAUUUGCUCAGCUUGAUUUCUUGCUCUCUGGUUUUCUCCUGUGUCUGCCACUCCACCUCCGUCUCCUCUCCCAUGUUCUCCCGUACGUGGCCUCUAGAUACUGGAUUUCCUCUAGACUGGGGGCUUGGCCCUUUUCCCCAGCUGACCUCAUCCCUACGUGAGUGGACCUGCGGCCCAGACCUCUCCCAUGUGGCUCCACUUACUUGACAUCUUCACUUGGACGCCACCCAGGGACCCUGGCUCAGUGCACGGGACCACUCUUUAUCCACCUGUGCAAGGUAGCAACCUGGGGGUCGGCCUUGACCCCCUCAUCUUUGUAGUCUAUCACAAAGUUCUAUCUUAUUCCCUAAACAUCCCCAGAGUGCCUCCCUGGGACCUUUCCACGUCCUCACCACCACCAUGGUGGUCUGAGCGCCAUCGUCUCUUCUCUGGAGCACUGCAGUGCCCUCCUGCCUGGUCUCUUUACAUGUACUCUUCUGGCCUCUUCAAAUCCAUUUUCCUGGAGGAGCCAGAAUGGUCUUUGUAAUGCAAAUCUGAUCAUAUCCCUCUUUGCUUCACACCCCUCCACGACUUGCCAUUGCUUUUAGGAUACAGACCCGAAUACGUGGCACGACCCACAGAUCUCUUAUGGUCUAGUCUACCCCCUCUCCUCUGCCCCCUGUUGCCCCUUCUCCCGUGCCAUCUGAACCCCAGGGCCCACGGACAUCUUGCCGUUUUUCAAGGGCACCAGGCCCCUUCCUGCCUCCAAGCCUUGGCAUUAUGCUAUUCCCUCUACCGGUCAGCCAGUCAGACCUUCACAUUUACUCGGCUGAAUUUUGUGUAACAGACUUGGUGGCAGCGUUGGGAUCUGAAGCAAACUUCCUCCGGCCUCCGGGGCCAAGGAGACCCACAGGCAGGGCGCCCUGCCAGCGCGCUUCUGAGUUCAAGACAUGCCACCUUCCAGCCCACCUGCCCAUUUUAUGUCUGAUCACGAUGGCACCAGGACAUGUGACUACCUACUGAAAUGGCAAAACGUUACCAAAAACCACCUAGAAGUACAAUGGCCACUAUGGGGAACGUUCCCAUUAGGCGUGAGGGCAUUUAGAAGCACAUCUGAGAGCACAGGUUCCCCAAGUAAAACGCAUUAGGAUACCUGCGUAAAUUGCUGCGUAAAGCAGCAGCUCUGAAAGGUUUCACAAUUCCAAAAACAGUUUCAUUAAAAGGUUAAUUAAGAGAUUUAGCAAGAGACUAAACACGACACCACAAAUAUUAGUAAUGUAGGGUCUUUGCAUCUGCGUGUUUGUAUGUACGUUAUAAAAACACGACAUAUUGUCCCACCUCUGGAUGGCACUGCUGACGUUAAUUUGUAAAAGAGCUCUAGUUAGUUGGUUUUGUAGGGGCCAAGGACAGGCUGCUCCAAAAUGUGCUGCGCUGGCAUCCUGAAAAAAAUUUGUCGUAAUGUUUUUCUUUCUUUUUGAGAGAGAGAGAGAGAGAGAGCACAAGCAGGGAAGGAGCAGAGAGAGAGAGGGAGAUACAGAAUCCGAAGCAGGCUCUGAGCUGUCAGCACAGAGCCCCACAGGGGGCUCAAACUCGUGAACCGUGAGAUCAUGACCUGAGCCAAAGUCGGAUGCCCAACUGACUGAGCCACCCAGACGGCCCCAUGGCAUACUGAUUAUUUUAAAUAAAACUUAUUUAAGAGACAGCCUGCGCAAGAAGGGCAUUCGGACCCUCCUCUGUCCCCUGGAAGCAGGAAGUAAAUCUCCCAUCUGAAAGAUCACCCUCCCUUUACCAGGGAGGUAAAGAGACCUUAUUACCAGAUAGGAAAUUUAGAGGCAAGAAAGCUGUAUAAACACCCCUUGUUAAUUUUUACUAAUAUAUAUCACACCCCAAAUUCUGUCAACAAUUCCUUACUAAUUGGAAUUCCUGAAGUUAAUUGAGUUUUCUUUGUCCUGCGGAUUUUUUUUAUGUUUAUUUAUUUAUUUUUUAGAGAGACAGGAGGAGACACAGAAUCAGAAGCAGGCUCCAAGCUGUCAGCACAGAGCCCGACGCGGGGCCUGAACCCAUGAACCGUGAGAUCAUGCCCUGAGCCCAAGUCGGUCACUUAACCUACUGAGCCACCCAGGUGCCCUGACCUGUCAAUUCUUCAUGGAUUCAUUUAUUGUCUCUUUGUCUACAAUGUAGGAAAACUGCCUGCCUUGGCCAUUUUGGCCCACUGUGCACUCAUAAUAAAACUCUGUGGUUUUUUUCCCCUGGUUAA
Neofelis nebulosa (Clouded leopard) is the source of this 8452-nucleotide RNA transcript. It is a transcript of the gene named zinc and ring finger 2, with no coding region annotated. The record is from RefSeq and is a predicted model, not a curated record. NCBI's taxonomy places the organism in Eukaryota, Metazoa, Chordata, Mammalia, Carnivora, Felidae. The transcript is spliced from 8 exons.